RNAcentral lists this ribosomal RNA (733 nucleotides) under uncultured Alteromonadaceae bacterium. Its description in RNAcentral is "bacterial SSU rRNA". It matches the Rfam family "Bacterial small subunit ribosomal RNA", at positions 56 to 789 of the family's 1533-position model. Lineage: Bacteria; Pseudomonadati; Pseudomonadota; Gammaproteobacteria; Alteromonadales; Alteromonadaceae. The record is from RNAcentral.
UGCAGUCGAACGGUAACAGGAAGUGCUUGCACUUCGCUGACGAGUGGCGGACGGGUGAGUAAUACUUAGGGAUCUGCCUUCGAGUGGGGGACAACCAUUGGAAACGAUGGCUAAUACCGCAUAACGUCUACGGACCAAAGUGGGCUUCGGCUCACGCUUGAAGAGGAACCUAAGCGAGAUUAGCUAGUUGGUGAGGUAAGGGCUCACCAAGGCGACGAUCUCUAGCUGUUCUGAGAGGAAGAUCAGCCACACUGGGACUGAGACACGGCCCAGACUCCUACGGGAGGCAGCAGUGGGGAAUAUUGCACAAUGGGGGAAACCCUGAUGCAGCCAUGCCGCGUGUGUGAAGAAGGCCUUCGGGUUGUAAAGCACUUUCAGUUGUGAGGAAAGGUUGGUAGUUAAUACCUGCUAGCCGUGACGUUAACAACAGAAGAAGCACCGGCUAACUCCGUGCCAGCAGCCGCGGUAAUACGGAGGGUGCGAGCGUUAAUCGGAAUUACUGGGCGUAAAGCGCACGCAGGCGGUUUGUUAAGCUAGAUGUGAAAGCCCCGGGCUCAACCUGGGAUGGUCAUUUAGAACUGGCAGACUAGAGUCUUGGAGAGGGGAGUGGAAUUCCGGUGUAGCGGUGAAAUGCGUAGAUAUCUGGAGGAACAUCAGUGGCGAAGCGACUCCCUGGCCAAAGACUGACGCUCAUGUGCGAAAGUGUGGGUAGCGAACAGGAUUAGAUACCCUG